CCGGGGCGGGCGGCGGCGAGCCGCGCGGCGGCCGUGCCCCGGCCGACGACGACCAGCCCGCCGUCCGGCACGGCGGUGUCGGUC
RNAcentral lists this transfer RNA (84 nucleotides) under Streptomyces roseiscleroticus. Its description in RNAcentral is "tRNA-Gly". Lineage: Bacteria; Bacillati; Actinomycetota; Actinomycetes; Kitasatosporales; Streptomycetaceae. The record is from RNAcentral. RNAcentral also lists the same sequence under 1 other name.